GAUGAAGAACGUAGCGAAAUGCGAUACUUGGUGUGAAUUGCAGAAUUCCGUGAAUCAUCGAAUCUUUGAACGCACAUUGCGCCCCCUGGCAUUCCGGGGGGCAUGCCUGUCCGAGCGUCAUUUCUGCCCUCAAGCACGGCUUGUGUGUUGGGUGUGGUCCCCCCGGGGACCUGCCCGAAAGGCAGCGGCGACGUCCGUCUGGUCCUCGAGCGUAUGGGGCUCUGUCACUCGCUCGGGAAGGACCUGCGGGGGUUGGUCACCACCAUGUUUUACCACGGUUGACCUCGGAUCAGGUAGGAGUUACCCGCUGAACUUAAGCAUAUCAAUAAGCGGAGGA
This 337-nucleotide unclassified non-coding RNA is filed under the name soil metagenome. RNAcentral's name for it is "partial contains 5.8S ribosomal RNA, internal transcribed spacer 2, and large subunit ribosomal RNA". The stretch from base 1 to 120 matches the Rfam family "5.8S ribosomal RNA", at positions 35 to 154 of the family's 154-position model. The record is from RNAcentral.